CCGUCGUUCACCUCGGACAGCUGCGCAAUUAAGUCUCAGAGAGUCGAGGCAGGUCUCACGGAGACCAAAGGGUCCCUCCGUGCUCCCCAGUGAGUAAAAACUCAGGGCUCAGGUUCACGGUCGUUAGAGUAAAUACAGGGGCACGGGGAGCAGGGACUGGCUUAUGGAGAAGUGGAGGGGCUUAAGGCCCCUGGGGCGGGGAGUAGGGGGGUUGUCCAGGGAUGGCGGUAGAGUCCAUCACUGCAUUAAGGGCCUGGCUGUGUGGGACUGUGGCUAGUGGUAGAGUCCAUCACUGCAUUAAAGGCCUGGCUGUGUGGGACUGUGGCUAGUGGUAGAGUCCAUCACUGCAUUAAGGCCUGGCUGUGUGGGACUGUGGCUAAGUCCAUCACUGCAUUAAGGGCCUGGCUGUGUGGGACUGUGGUAGAGUCCAUCACUGGCUGUGUGGGACUGUGGCUAGUUGGGUGUCAGCCUGGGAGGGAAAGGUUACUAAUCCACUCAGUUAGGGGGGACGGGCUCGUAACCUGGAAAUGGACAGAUGAAAGAAGAGGAGAGAGAAAGAAAAAAAAAAACGAGGACAGGGCCACCUCCUGACCCCAUAAGAGGGAGGAAGAGAGGAUCAGGCAGCCAAAUGACAGAGGAGGGAGAGACGGAGGGAGAGACGGAGGGAGGGGGGCAGAGUUUGGAGAAACGCUGAAAUGGCAAGACAUCACUCAAAGAUAGUGCUGGUGGUUGGGGUGGG
This is a long non-coding RNA of Clupea harengus (Atlantic herring), 739 nucleotides long. Lineage: Eukaryota; Metazoa; Chordata; Actinopteri; Clupeiformes; Clupeidae. The record is from Ensembl.